RNA transcript from Rosa chinensis, 1212 nucleotides. RefSeq lists it as uncharacterized. The record is from RefSeq and is a predicted model, not a curated record. The transcript has 5 exons. Lineage: Eukaryota; Viridiplantae; Streptophyta; Magnoliopsida; Rosales; Rosaceae.
UUAAUUUUCAUUUCGCGGCUCCACAAGAAUGACUUUUCUUGUGCUCACCGAAAUAAAAAGUGAAAACGCUCUCUCUGCGUCGCACAAUAAAAAGAUAAAGAACGCCACAACACCGCUCCUUCUCCAGUUCCCUUGUAUGCUCUUGCAGGGUAGCAGUGCAUGCGCGUCCAUGCGGUCUGGGGUUGAACCCAUUCAUACCUACGAAUUUCUCUGGAGCUUCCAGUCUUCUAAAGGUUUGGGACAAAUACAACUAAAGAUGGGAGAUCUUAAAAGUUCAUUUUCAAAAAGGUCUUAACGAUUUACCCUGAUAAUUGGGAGACACUGAAAGUGAGCUGGAGUCAAAGUAUGCGGGUCUCAGUGAUCUUUUUUUCUUCUCAUUUCACAGCUAAUAGAUUCUUUUCUAUAGGCUUUUGGUCACAUAUAUGUUCAGGUUGGGCAGAAAGGGAAGGCAUUGGGAUUUAUGAGGAAGGCUACAAAAAUUGACCCAAAUGGUGCCCAGGUAAUCAACCCAUUUAUAACAGGAGAUGUCCAGUAUGGUGCUCCACAACCCAUUUAUUGUUUUGUAGUUCAAACAACUUGGACUGGUUAUUGUUUUGUAUCUUAUUAGAUCUCUUGUUUGUUUUUCUUUACUAUUGAAUUUCAUAGUUAUUGAUUGUAGGAAUAGGGUGGAGAUGUUAUACAGAGAAGUCUGGCAUUAGUAUCAUCCCUGAAACCAUCGAUAACUGGACUUUGCCUUAUUAUUUUUAUUUACAUAAGAAGACCAAGAUCUUCAAAAAAGAAGAAGAAGAAGAAGAAGAAGACCAAGAUUCACAUUAGUGCCUUGUUAUCACUGAACGUUGUAUACAAAUCUUAGUGAGUUUAAUUGUUCUGUUUCUUUCUGUUUAUUUGGUCAAUUGCAGAUUAAGGGUGGAAGUUGGUUUGUUCUGUUUGGUUCAACUCCGAAAAGAAAAUAAUCAGCUAAUAGGCCAAGACUUCUUCAUAUUUAACCAUCACUCAUAGUUCAGUUCAAUUAUGGGAUACACUGCGAGUUUUGGAAGCUGCUUUCGACGAAUAGAUUAGUUUUGUUAUUAAGACUUUUCGAUUUGUAUCAUCAGUGUACAAGGGCAAAAGAACUUGAUGGCUGAGACAAUGUAGUACUUGUCUAAUUUUACGAAUGUUAAUUACAUUGUAUUUUGAGAUUAUUUAAUGAAAGUCCAUAUACUUUUGAUGUCU